Molecule: non-coding RNA, 24 nt
Filed under: Mus musculus (house mouse)
Lineage: Eukaryota; Metazoa; Chordata; Mammalia; Rodentia; Muridae
Source: RNAcentral
CAGUAGUUUGUAUACCUUCUGCAC